Molecule: ribosomal RNA, 253 nt
Filed under: uncultured bacterium
Lineage: Bacteria
Description: partial 16S ribosomal RNA
Rfam family: Bacterial small subunit ribosomal RNA
Source: RNAcentral
UACGGAGGGUGCAAGCGUUAAUCGGAAUUACUGGGCGUAAAGCGUGCGUAGGCGGCCUGUUAAGUCAGAUGUGAAAGCCCUGGGCUCAACCUGGGAACUGCAUUUGAAACUGGCGGGCUAGAGUUAGGUAGAGGGGAGUGGAAUUUCAGGUGUAGCGGUGAAAUGCGUAGAUAUCUGAAGGAACACCAGUGGCGAAGGCGGCUCCCUGGACCCAAACUGACGCUGAGGUGCGAAAGCGUGGGGAGCAAACAGG